CCUACGGGGUGCUGCAGUGGGGAAUAUUGGGCAAUGGGCGCAAGCCUGACCCAGCAAUGCCGCGUGAAGGAAGAAGGCUUUCGGGUUGUAAACUUCUUUGACAGGGGAAGAGCAGAAGACGGUACCCUGAAAACAAGCCACGGCUCACUACGUGCCAGCAGCCGAGGUAAUACGGAGGGGGCAAGCGUUGUCCGGAGUUACUGGGUGUAAAGGGCGUGUAGCCGGGAAAGCAAGUCAGAGGUGAACUCUGGAGGCUCAACCUCCAAAUUGCAUUUGAAACUGUUUGUCUUGAGUACUGGAGAGGCAGACGGAAUUCCUGGUGUAGCGGUGAAAUGCGGAGAUAUAAGGAGGAACACCAGUGGCGAAGGCGGUCUGCUGGACAGCAACUGACGGUGAGGCGCGAAAGCGUGGGGAGCAAACAGGAUUAGAUACCCCGGUAGUC
Molecule: ribosomal RNA, 442 nt
Filed under: uncultured bacterium
Lineage: Bacteria
Description: partial 16S ribosomal RNA
Rfam family: Bacterial small subunit ribosomal RNA
Source: RNAcentral